This 3442-nucleotide long non-coding RNA is filed under the name Lepisosteus oculatus (spotted gar). RNAcentral's name for it is "lncRNA (ENSLOCG00000022573.1)". The record is from RNAcentral. Lineage: Eukaryota; Metazoa; Chordata; Actinopteri; Semionotiformes; Lepisosteidae.
CUUGUCGGCUCUGCUUUGGACUAACACCUAUGCUUCAACCGCAGGUUCAUGUUUGCCUGCCUACUACAGUCUGCUCAACUACGGAACCUGCAACUGGAUUCAAUCUUCUGCCUCAUGCUUCAUGGCCGCUCCGUUAUCAGGUUUGUCAGAGAUGUGCUCAAAGCAUGGUAAAAAGGGUUGCAACUUCCCUGUACUACACUGCUUCAGCCAGUCUUCUAAUGAGGAAAGGUGGAGGCAAACAAGAUAAGGGAAAAAAGGCAAUGCUCCUCCUUUUCUUUAAUAACCUAAUUCUUUGUUGAGUGUCUUCCACUGAUUUAGAAGAGUCCUGAUCUCAUUACACAGCUCAAAUGGCAUAACAGCAAACCAAACAAAACAAACUGGGUUUCUUGUUUCAUACUGCUUUUCAAACACUGAGGAAGGUACUGGGGUCCUCUCUGUGUUCAACAGAACGCUAGCCCUUUUCAACUCUCUGUGAGUGAAGAGCAACAUGUGUGCCAUACAGUUUUGUGUAUCUCAGAUAUGAGAUACUAUAUGCUGACACCCAUCAAGCAGCAUUAUAAAUGUUUGUGUUAGGCUUCUUACCCACACUGUUUUAAAAGGGGUCCAAAGGAUUAUGCACUCAGUCUGGGAUAUACUUUAACACCAAGUUUUCCAGGCCAUUGAAAAUUGAAGUCUCUCUUCUCUCCCUCCGGUAUGAAUGUCUAAAAUUGGACAUCACCACACAUACUGUAAGUCCCUUAAAUAUGAGUGCAUGAGUGCUUCAUGACAAAUGAUAAUUCCCAAAGAAUUUCUUGUUCUUACAGUGGUGCCCCAGCACCACAGUGUUUACAAAGACUGUAGGUCUUUUCCAAACAAAGCCAAAACUUAAUACUUUGAAACAUUUUGCAGUUCUGUUAUGAAUGGACACAAACAGCAAACCUCAAAACUUUUUUCACCUGUUCCAAAUGUGUACCACUAUUUCUCUCUUCCGAACUGAUUUUCUAAACCUGUGGAUAAGCAGAAACAAUGACUGGAUUUUCUCUUUUUUAAGUCUGCAUUAUCCUUUGCUAGACCUUUUUGGUUUUGAACUGUUAUUAUUGUUGCUGAAUAAAAAGAGUUGUUUUUGUUUUCAUUAAUAUUCUCCACAAUUUUGAAGUGUUCUGCUUGUAUAUCUAUAUGUUUUAUGUUCAGCUUUUACGUCAGUAAUUAUUACGUCUUUGAAUUGUCUUUAGGGAGAAAUGUAAUUUGUUGAAAUUUUCAAUAGUUUGGCGUCAGAUACUUUAACCCAAGUUGGGAAAUGGUACUCCACAGAAAGGCUUUUCAUUCCUCUUUCUUUCUGUAACCUUUUGCAAUGUUGAAUCCCAUCACCCUGUGCACACGAACACAGCACCGCUGUAAGCAUGCCGUAAUUACGUUAUGGAUGCAGAGCAAGUGAGCGGAAUGAGGUCUGUCAUGCGAGUUAAAGACUUUUACGGCAAAGCAGUGGCAUGACAUCAUUACCCACAGCGCCUUGUGAUAUCUCACAUCAGUGGUUUCAGUACGUAAGGAGAUGAAAUGUCACUAUACACGAAGGCUAAUGGCCUGUGAUAUUACUGCUCCCAAACGGGCAAGGCUCCAGCGACACCAGUGUUUUCAGGCAACCCUAUCAUAAGUGCUGCUAUUAUGGCUGUUCUAGUUGAACCACAGACGCAAACUCAAAUCUCUUGUAAUUCUGUCGGCAGAGGUGCUCUAGACAAAGCUUCCAGAGCCGAGAAAAACGAAUGCAAAGAACCCUGCUUGUGAUUUUGAGCAGCUAGCUCCUGUUAUUUGGCAGGUUUCUCAUGGUGGUGACGGGCUGCGGAUCACAAAGGUUCCCAGCUCUCUCAGUGCCAGGGAAGCAGCUGAAAUGGAAGUAAACAAGGCGAAGGGCUGAGAAUGUUUGACAUCAGCACUUAUUACUUAACAUGGACUUCAGAGUUUUCUAUUUGCACAAUAAACACAUCACUUGCUUGCUUCUUUUAUGAAUAAUACCUAGAGAGAAGAAGAGAGGUAGAGAGAGGGAGAAGGAGAGAGAGGGAAAGGGAGGGAGAUAGAGAGGGGGAGAGAAGGAGAGAGCUAAUGAGGGGGAGAGAGAGGGAAAGGGACAGAGGGAGAUAGAGAGAGGAAUGGGGAGAGAAGGAGAGGAACAGGAGGAGAGGGAGAGAGGAGCCAUUGCUCUAAAAUAAGAUUUCACCAUCCCCCCAUACCUUCCUUCACAGCACUGGCUUUUUGGAAAGCGUGCUUGAGAAGUGGGACUAAAAGCAAAUGUCUGUGCAAACAAUGUGCUACUUCAGCUAUACAGCCAUCUAAACGCUUUCUUUGUAUGUCAUGUUAUGACAUCCAAUAAAUAACAUGGAUUUUUCUCACACUAGCAGAUCAACUUACUAUAAUUUCACUUAGUGAGGAGAUCACCAAAGCCCAAAGUGCACUGUAAGGAGUUAGCUUUUCAGUUUCCAGACAAUAGGGCAUGGUACAGGUCCAACCAGGCCCAGGAGUCUACUGUAUGUGCAAGGUCUGUGCUGACUCACUCUUGCUAUAAGAGGCAUUAAACACACACACACUCACACAGUAGCAGAAUUUAUUUUUGCCAAUAUCCACCAUAUGUUCUGUAUUCUAAUUUCUUAACACCUUGUAUUUAAGUAUAGAGCACUGUACCGUUUCCAAAGAAGAAGAAGCAGUUUUGUUUGGCACACGACUAUAAUGUGGUGACAAAUCAGCAUAUUUUGGUAAUAAAUAACAGGACACUAAGAAAGGGAGAAUGCCAUCUAUCAGAGUCUUGGGUUUCUCAGCUGCUUACUAAUUUAUAAACCAUUGAAAGUUCUGAACAAUGACAACCACUAACAGAUUUCCAGACACAAUGCUUGCCUCCUCCAGUCUGCAUGUUUUGGUGGAUGGAAACAGAAUUAUCACCAUGGCAAGAAGAAUCAAUCUUAAGCUUUUAGCAGGGUUUACAAUCAGGAAUCCAAGACCAAUGUUUGCACCUGGUUCACUGAUAGAAACCACUGGGAGGAAAAUCAGGGAAGCUUGUAAGUUUGUGUUUUCCACCUUGACUAUAAUACGAAACAGGCACAUUUUGUCUUAUUAGAUUACUUGUGCAAACGAUUCUGGGUUAACAGCUUUUAAACACAGUAAGGCACAGUAAGUAGUACUGUGCUACAAAAAGCACAGUAAGGCCUCAAGGUCUUAUCACUCAUUGGUACAUGGCUAUAAAUACCAGUACUGUUCUGUAACAGGCAACAAUGUUUAUUGCAUAAUUAAACUGCUCUUCUGAACACAACACAGCUCAUUCUGUUUAUAUAACUAUAUUCAUGUCUAUAUCGAGUUCUUCCUUAUGACACCUGUAAAGAGUGGUUCAGGACGGAGUUCAUAAUUGAGUAAGAAACAAAUCUGUUUGCUUGUUUCCUCUAAAUACUUUGUUAUAGACAGAUUAAAAGAUAAGUUAGAA